GAGCCUAUAGCCUAGUGGUCAUGGCAUCUGCCCGGUAAGCUAUCCGUGAACUUCACACAGACAGAAUAAGGCAAUUAUAUAAGUAGACUGCCCGGUAAGCGGAAGGUCGUGGGUUCGAUUCCCAUCCCUUGACACU
Non-coding RNA from Cordylochernes scorpioides, 136 nucleotides. The record is from the annotation of a GenBank genome assembly. NCBI's taxonomy places the organism in Eukaryota, Metazoa, Arthropoda, Arachnida, Pseudoscorpiones, Chernetidae.